AUUUCUUCGGAUUGAAGUUGCUUAUGACUGAGUGGCGGACGGGUGAGUAACGCGUGGGUAACCUGCCUUAUACAGGGGGAUAACAGUUGGAAACGGCUGAUAAUACCGCAUAAGCGCACAGUACCGCAUGGUACAGUGUGAAAAACUCCGGUGGUGUGAGAUGGACCCGCGUCUGAUUAGCUUGUUGGCAGGGUAACGGCCCACCAAAGCGACGAUCAGUAGCCGACCUGAGAGGGUGACCGGCCACAUUGGGACUGAGACACGGCCCAAACUCC
This 275-nucleotide ribosomal RNA is filed under the name uncultured Roseburia sp. RNAcentral's name for it is "partial 16S ribosomal RNA". It matches the Rfam family "Bacterial small subunit ribosomal RNA", at positions 72 to 339 of the family's 1533-position model. The record is from RNAcentral. Lineage: Bacteria; Bacillati; Bacillota; Clostridia; Lachnospirales; Lachnospiraceae.